AUUCACAGUUCAAAAAACAUAUUAAUCUUAUAGUGGCCCUUUAUGCAGCUGCUCAGUUCAGUCUUUUACAGGCUGCUUUGGACCCCCGAACCAACAACGCUGUUAUAUUGCAGCGUUUUCGCUUGUGAUGUAACUCUGUUCUUCUCAAUCAAGCUUCAAUAAACUUUACAGCAUCAGA
Long non-coding RNA from Scomber japonicus (chub mackerel), 178 nucleotides. RefSeq lists it as uncharacterized. The transcript has 2 exons. The record is from RefSeq and is a predicted model, not a curated record. NCBI's taxonomy places the organism in Eukaryota, Metazoa, Chordata, Actinopteri, Scombriformes, Scombridae.